GAGUGAGGGCCGAAAGGUCCGACCUCCAACCCUUUGUCAUCCGACUCUGUUGCCUCGGGGGCGACCCGGCCUUCGGGCGUCUUGGGGCCCCCGGUGGACUAUAACACUGCAUCUUUGCGUCCGAGUAAACAUUUAAUUUAUUAAAACUUUUAACAACGGAUCUCUUGGUUCU
Molecule: unclassified non-coding RNA, 172 nt
Filed under: rhizosphere metagenome
Description: partial ribosomal RNA internal transcribed spacer region
Source: RNAcentral